UUAAAGACUAGUCCAAAAGUAGAAGAUGGAUCAACUUCGAUCGUCAAGAGCUCACCCUAAGUCUUCGAUCAAAAUGCUCCGCACGAGAAAAACGUCAGCGGCGAUGGCUCGUACUAGGAUCUGCAUCAGGAAAAAGUGGAAAAAAGAUGUAGAAGUGUAGUACGAGUACCAAAACUCGAGGUACCCAGUAGGCAUCAUAGCGCGACUGAGCUCAGAUAAGAUAUAAUAAAAUGCGAAUAUAAGCGAAGGUUAAGUAUAGUAAGGCCAGAAAGGGGAUAAUAGUUCAAAUCUAUAUGAUUACUAGAAAUGUAAGUAAGUUACCACCAAACACAUAAUAAUAAGUUAUCUAAAAACUAAUCAGGCCCCUGUAAAUCUAGAAGGCACAGACACAAGCAAUAUAACCCAACCGACCCCUAUAAGCAUGGUGGACCCGCCCCUAUAAGCAUGGUGGAUACAAGCAACAAACAAUACUAAUUACAAGCAAUGCAUAAAAUAAAUAGAUAAGUACGAAUGGAUGUCACGAAAUGCAAUAUGAGAUGAAUAUCAUGUACACAAUACCUUAGCCACCGGCCAGAGGUUGUGGUGCUCAGGGUAGUUGGGGUGGUUCCCAGGGGUGCUCAGUCGGGUAGGGAAAGUGGUGGUUUGGGUACUUAGUCCGAUGGUGGGCGUGGAUAGUUGUAUGUCUAUCCUGGUAGACCAGAGGCGGAGGCAUCAAAUGUCAUGAUCAUAAGUACAAUUUCAGUUUGUCGUCACCCAGCCUCUGUCUUAUUUAAUCCGGGUUCUACAUAUUCAUAUGUGUUUGCAUACUUUGCUUGUCGUUUGGGGUUGUCUAUUGAGCCCUUGCCUGUUCCUGUGUGUGUAGUUACUCCCACAGGUGAUUCUUUAGUAGUGGAUCGGGUUUAUAAAUUUUGUAUGAUGACUCUUUGGGAGUAUGACACUUGGGCAGACCUUUUCGUGCUUGAUAUGGUAAAUUUUGAUGCUAUUCUUGGCAUGGACUGGUUAUCCCCUUAUCAUGCUAUCUCGGAUUGCUUCGCCAAGACCGUUGUCUUAGCCAUGCUUGGCAUAUCCCCGAUCGUGUGGCAAGGUUCUGAUAGUCACGCACCAACAGGGACCAUUUCUUAUGUUCAGGUUAGGAGGUUAGUGUUGAAGGGGUGCUUGGCCUACCUUGCUUAUGUAGCCUUAGGCUCUGUUGGUAUCAAACAAGUCUCAUAGUACACCUUCAAAUUCAAA
This 1230-nucleotide long non-coding RNA is filed under the name Capsicum annuum. RNAcentral describes it as "long non-coding RNA (CANN_LNC015804)". The record is from RNAcentral. Lineage: Eukaryota; Viridiplantae; Streptophyta; Magnoliopsida; Solanales; Solanaceae.